GUCUAUGGCCAUGCUAUCUUGAACAAGCCCGAUCUCGUCUGAUCUCAGAAGCUAAGCAGGGUCAGGCCUGGUUACUAUGUGGAUGGGAGACCACCUAGGAAUACCGGGUGCUGUAGGCG
This 119-nucleotide ribosomal RNA is filed under the name Pteropus alecto (black flying fox). Lineage: Eukaryota; Metazoa; Chordata; Mammalia; Chiroptera; Pteropodidae. The record is from RNAcentral.